RNAcentral lists this ribosomal RNA (492 nucleotides) under uncultured bacterium. RNAcentral describes it as "bacterial SSU rRNA". It matches the Rfam family "Bacterial small subunit ribosomal RNA", at positions 28 to 507 of the family's 1533-position model. The record is from RNAcentral.
GAUGAACGCUAGCUACAGGCUUAACACAUGCAAGUCGAGGGGAAACGAUAUUGGAAGCUUGCUUCCGAUAGGCGUCGACCGGCGCACGGGUGAGUAACGCGUAUCCAACCUGCCCACCACUUGGGGAUAACCUUGCGAAAGUAAGACUAAUACCCAAUGACGUCUCUAGAAGACAUCUGAAAGAGAUUAAAGAUUUAUCGGUGAUGGAUGGGGAUGCGUCUGAUUAGCUUGUUGGCGGGGUAACGGCCCACCAAGGCAACGAUCAGUAGGGGUUCUGAAAGGAAGGUCCCCCACAUUGGAACUGAGACACGGUCCAAACUCCUACGGGAGGCAGCAGUGAGGAAUAUUGGUCAAUGGGCGAGAGCCUGAACCAGCCAAGUAGCGUGCAGGAUGACGGCCCUAUGGGUUGUAAACUGCUUUUAUAAGGGAAUAAAGUGAGCCUCGUGAGGCUUUUUGCAUGUACCUUAUGAAUAAGGACCGGCUAAUUCCGUG